RNAcentral lists this transfer RNA (47 nucleotides) under Sancassania berlesei. RNAcentral's name for it is "tRNA-Val". The record is from RNAcentral. Lineage: Eukaryota; Metazoa; Arthropoda; Arachnida; Sarcoptiformes; Acaridae.
UAGAGUUCUUAUAGUUUUGCUUACAACAAAACUUUUUAUAACUCUUU